AAUGCCCCAGGAAAUAUGUAAACAUUAAAGAUAUAAGGCAUUACAAAGCAAUACAGAGACAUGACAAUAUCAUGUAACCAAUCUGAACAGAUCAGAGAGUUAAGAGAAAAGAGUCAGUGGAGCCUCUCAUAUCAAACGUUUUAAUCUACCAGCAAUGCAGUACCUCUGGGUGACUUUGAUUAUCUUAGUCAUGAGUCUUGUCUUCCAGCUAUGGAAGAGACCAAGAAACUUCCCUCCAGGACCAUGGGCUAUACCAGUGCUUGGGAAUUUCCUGCAAUUGGAUUACAGGAAUCCAGUCCAUGAUUUCAGCAAGCUGGCAAAAAGAUAUGGGAAUGUCUUCAGAAUCUAUCUAGGAAGUACACCCGUUGUCUUUCUUCAUGGGUUUGAAACUAUAAAGGAAGCACUGGUCAACAAUGCUAUAACGUUUGCUCACAAGCCCAAACAUCCAGCUUUAACAGCCUCAAAUAUAGG
This is a long non-coding RNA of Protopterus annectens (West African lungfish), 471 nucleotides long. RefSeq lists it as uncharacterized. Lineage: Eukaryota; Metazoa; Chordata; Ceratodontiformes; Protopteridae. The transcript has 4 exons. The record is from RefSeq and is a predicted model, not a curated record.